Molecule: ribosomal RNA, 504 nt
Filed under: uncultured bacterium
Lineage: Bacteria
Description: bacterial SSU rRNA
Rfam family: Bacterial small subunit ribosomal RNA
Source: RNAcentral
ACUGGCUCAGGAUGAACGCUAGCGGCAGGCCUAAUACAUGCAAGUCGAACGGGAUAGGCUCCUUCGGGGGCCUUGAGAGUGGCGCACGGGUGCGCAACGCGUAUGCAACCAACCCCCGACAGGCGGAUAGCCGGUGGAAACGCCGGAUAAUACGCCAUGGUUCCGUGGGAGGGCAUCCUCCUGAGGAUAAAGCCGAGAGGCGGUCGGGGACGGGCAUGCGUCCCAUUAGAUGGUAGGCGGGGUGACGGCCCACCUAGUCCACGAUGGGUAGGGGUUCUGAGAGGAAGGUCCCCCACACUGGUACUGAGACACGGACCAGACUCCUACGGGAGGCAGCAGUGAGGAAUAUUGGUCAAUGGGCGCGAGCCUGAACCAGCCAAGUGCGUGCAGGAUGACGGCCCUAUGGGUUGUAAACUGCUUUUAUACGGGGAUAAAGUGAGGGACGUGUCCCUUUUUGUAGGUACCGUAUGAAUAAGGACCGGCUAAUUCCGUGCCAGCAGCAGC